This 400-nucleotide ribosomal RNA is filed under the name uncultured bacterium. RNAcentral describes it as "bacterial SSU rRNA". It matches the Rfam family "Bacterial small subunit ribosomal RNA", at positions 29 to 430 of the family's 1533-position model. The record is from RNAcentral.
AUUGAACGCUGGCGGCAUGCCUUACACAUGCAAGUCGAACGGUAACGCGGGGCAACCUGGCGACGAGUGGCGAACGGGUGAGUAAAGUAUCGGAACGUGCCCAAUAGUGGGGGAUAGCCCGGCGAAAGCCGGAUUAAUACCGCAUGAGACCUGAGGGUGAAAGCGGGGGACUCGCAAGAGCCUCGCGCUGUUGGAGCGGCCGAUAUCAGAUUAGGUAGUUGGUGGGGUAAAGGCCUACCAAGCCGACGAUCUGUAGCUGGUCUGAGAGGACGACCAGCCACACUGGGACUGAGACACGGCCCAGACUCCUACGGGAGGCAGCAGUGGGGAAUUUUGGACAAUGGGCGCAAGCCUGAUCCAGCCAUGCCGCGUGCGGGAAGAAGGCCUCGGUUGUAACGAC